Molecule: non-coding RNA, 28 nt
Filed under: Mus musculus (house mouse)
Lineage: Eukaryota; Metazoa; Chordata; Mammalia; Rodentia; Muridae
Source: RNAcentral
UCCAAAUUUAUAAGAGGGCCACUUCUGA